Alexandromys fortis (reed vole) is the source of this 336-nucleotide long non-coding RNA. RefSeq lists it as uncharacterized. The record is from RefSeq and is a predicted model, not a curated record. The transcript has 3 exons. Lineage: Eukaryota; Metazoa; Chordata; Mammalia; Rodentia; Cricetidae.
GGUUUUUGUCUCCCACCAUAAGACUCCUUGCUUGGUGGACUGAACCGACAAAGUCAAGAUUGGAUCAGGACAUGUCACACAAAAGUUUGUGUGGUCAAUCAACCACCCUCAUGGAAAAGACAUGGAAAUCGCAGUGAGCAAACUAAGGUCAGGAUGGAGACAGCAUGGAGCCCCAUUGAUAUCACCGCAGUCAGCCCCGUGGCUGGCCUGCCGUGCUUAAAGAGUUAAGUCUGGACGGGAUGGAGCCAGGGAGGUGCAGAGCUGACCUGAGGCGGCUCCUGGCUAAGCUCCUGUGACCGGCCUGGGUGGUUCCCAGUCUAGGACACCCGGAAGUGC